GCCUGGGUGGCUCAGUUGGUUAAGCGUCUAACUUCAGCUCAGGUCAUGAUCUCGCAGUUUGUGAGUUCAAGUCCCACAUCAGGCU
This 85-nucleotide transfer RNA is filed under the name Felis catus (domestic cat). It matches the Rfam family "tRNA". Rfam says of the family: Transfer RNA (tRNA) molecules are approximately 80 nucleotides in length. The record is from Rfam by way of RNAcentral. Lineage: Eukaryota; Metazoa; Chordata; Mammalia; Carnivora; Felidae.